GACGAACGCUGGCGGCGUGCCUAAUACAUGCAAGUCGAGCGCAGCGGCGGAUGGGUGAGUAAUGCGUGGGUAACCUGCCCUUAAGUCUGGGCUACUCUUUGGAAACACAUGCUAAUACCGAAUACUAAAGGAUGGACCUGCGAUGCAUUAGCUAGUUGGUAAGGUACCGGCUUACCAAGGCGAUGAUGCAUAGCCGAGUUGAGAGGAUGAUCGGCCACAGUGGGACUGAGACACGGCCCAAACUCCUACGGGAGGCAGCAGUAGGGAAUCUUCCACAAUGGACGAAAGUCUGAUGGAGCAACGCCGCGUGAGUGAAGAAGGUUUUCGGAUCGUAAAGCUCUGUUGUUGGUGAAGCGGUAAUCAACCAGAAAGUCACGGCUAACUACGUGCCAGCAGCCGCGGUAAUAC
This 408-nucleotide ribosomal RNA is filed under the name uncultured bacterium. Its description in RNAcentral is "partial 16S ribosomal RNA". It matches the Rfam family "Bacterial small subunit ribosomal RNA", at positions 28 to 526 of the family's 1533-position model. The record is from RNAcentral.